UGCCACAGCCAUAUCACCCUACAGCCCUAGAGUGGUUACUCACUGUUUGAAGCUAAUCAGGUUUGAGCCUGGUCAGUACCUGGAUGGGAGACCACAUGAGACAACUAGGUUGCUGUUGGAA
Ribosomal RNA from Danio rerio (zebrafish), 121 nucleotides. Lineage: Eukaryota; Metazoa; Chordata; Actinopteri; Cypriniformes; Danionidae. The record is from Ensembl.